UCUCUCUCUCUCUCUCUCUCUCUCUCUCUCUCUCUCUCUCUCACCACCUCUCUACUCUACAAAGAAUACACUCUCUCUCUUCUCUCUCUCUCUCUCUCUCUCUCUCUCUCUCUCUCUCUCUCUGCAACUUUUUUGCAACCCUAAAACGUCAACACCUUUGUCCCUGCUAUCAGAUCAUGCGACCUUCCCCUCUCUCUGACAAAAAGCCCGCAAUGUGAAUGAAUGCCCUUUCUGGUGCCAACCCCCCCCUCCUCUCUCUCUAACUCUCAAUCAUUUUCUCUCUCCAGAGCUUGAGUCCCUGUGUGGAAGGAGGGCGUCGGGGUCGGAGUCAGUUGUUGAUUCGGCUCCCCCACCUCUUUUUUUUUAUUAUUAUUAUAUUAUAUUAUUUAUGACCCCUUCUCUCUCUAACUGCACCCCAUCCCUCUUCUUUUUCUCUCUAACGAAACCACCUCUCUUCUUUCUCUCUCCAACGACACCACCUCUCUCUUCUUUCUCUCUCUAACG
This 504-nucleotide long non-coding RNA is filed under the name Amborella trichopoda. RNAcentral's name for it is "long non-coding RNA (ATRI_LNC002618)". Lineage: Eukaryota; Viridiplantae; Streptophyta; Magnoliopsida; Amborellales; Amborellaceae. The record is from RNAcentral.